RNAcentral lists this small nucleolar RNA (136 nucleotides) under Mus pahari (shrew mouse). Its description in RNAcentral is "snoRNA (MGP_PahariEiJ_G0034378.1)". It matches the Rfam family "Small nucleolar RNA SNORA17". From Rfam's summary of the family: snoRNA ACA 17 belongs to the H/ACA family of snoRNAs and is predicted to guide pseudouridylation of the 28S rRNA at positions U4659 and U4598. It shares the same host gene together with ACA43. Lineage: Eukaryota; Metazoa; Chordata; Mammalia; Rodentia; Muridae. The record is from RNAcentral.
ACAUUGAACAUGAACUCUCUCAUUACAUAUGUGCUAAUUGAAACAUUUAUGAAACGACGGGUGGCAGAGAGGACAGAGGUUGUGUCCAUGCUCAGUGCUCUAAUCUGUGAUCAUCUGAAUGACUAGUAGCCUAACU